CCGUGCUAGACGGGGAGAUAGCGGUGCCCUGAACCUGCAAACCGCUUUAGCAGGGUGGAAUUCCCGGCCCGAGGGUUUGGCUUGUGGGGCUGGCCGCGGUAAGGGGCGUUGAAGGCCGGGUCUCGCGCGACGGAGAGUUCUGAACCGUGUCAGGUCCUGACGGAAGCAGCACUAAGGAAUCACCUCCGGGUGCCGCGAGGGUGCCUGGUCCGAGCAACCUGCCGGGGUAUCGACCGGAAGCCACUAUUCGAAGGCGGGUGCACGG
RNAcentral lists this signal recognition particle RNA (265 nucleotides) under Peptococcaceae bacterium. Its description in RNAcentral is "signal recognition particle sRNA large type". It matches the Rfam family "Bacterial large signal recognition particle RNA". Rfam says of the family: The signal recognition particle (SRP) is a universally conserved ribonucleoprotein involved in the co-translational targeting of proteins to membranes. Archaeal SRP consists of a 7S RNA and homologues of the eukaryotic SRP19 and SRP54 proteins. The record is from RNAcentral. Lineage: Bacteria; Bacillati; Bacillota; Clostridia; Eubacteriales; Peptococcaceae.